GAUGAACGCUGGCGGCGUGCCUAAUACAUGCAAGUCGAGCGAACAGACGAGGAGCUUGCUCCUCUGACGUUAGCGGCGGACGGGUGAGUAACACGUGGAUAACCUUCCUAUAAGACUGGGAUAACUUCGGGAAACCGGAGCUAAUACCGGAUAAUAUAUUGAACCGCAUGGUUCAAUAGUGAAAGACGGUUUUGCUGUCACUUAUAGAUGGAUCCGCGCCGCAUUAGCUAGUUGGUAAGGUAACGGCUUACCAAGGCAACGAUGCGUAGCCGACCUGAGAGGGUGAUCGGCCACACUGGAACUGAGCCACGGUCCAGACUCCUACGGGAGGCAGCAGUAGGGAAUCUUCCGCAAUGGGCGAAAGCUUGACGGAGCAACGCCGCGUGAGUGAUGAAGGUCUUCGGAUCGUAAAACUCUGUUAUUAGGGAAGAACAAAUGUGUAAGUAACUAUGCACGUCUUGACGGUACCUAAUCAGAAAGCCACGGCUAACUACGUG
This 497-nucleotide ribosomal RNA is filed under the name uncultured bacterium. RNAcentral's name for it is "partial 16S ribosomal RNA". It matches the Rfam family "Bacterial small subunit ribosomal RNA", at positions 28 to 507 of the family's 1533-position model. The record is from RNAcentral.